RNAcentral lists this ribosomal RNA (461 nucleotides) under uncultured bacterium. RNAcentral's name for it is "bacterial SSU rRNA". It matches the Rfam family "Bacterial small subunit ribosomal RNA", at positions 46 to 526 of the family's 1533-position model. The record is from RNAcentral.
GCUUAACACAUGCAAGUCGAACGGAUGAAAUAAGCUUGCUUAUUUCGUUAGUGGCGCACGGGUGAGUAAUGUAUAGCUAACCUGCCCUUUAGUGGGGGACAACAGUUGGAAACGACUGCUAAUACCCCAUACUCCUUCUUAUCAUAAGGUAAGUUGGGAAAGAUUUAUUGCUAAAGGAUGGGGCUUUAUGGUAUCAGCUAGUUGGUGGGGUAACGGCCUACCAAGGCGAUGACGCCUACCUGGUCUGAGAGGAUGAUCAGGCACACUGGAACUGAGACACGGUCCAGACUCCUACGGGAGGCAGCAGUGGGGAAUAUUGCACAAUGGAGGAAACUCUGAUGCAGCAACGCCGCGUGGAGGAUGACGCAUUUCGGUGUGUAAACUCCUUUUAUAAGGGAAGAUAAUGACGGUACCUUAUGAAUAAGCACCGGCUAACUCCGUGCCAGCAGCCGCGGUAAUAC